AAAAAAACAAACUCUGAGUUUCCGUGUCCAACGUUUGACCAUCCGUCUUAUUUAAAAAAAUCAAAAAGACAAGUCACAUAUAAAGUAUUAAUCAUGUUUUACCACCUAACAACAAUGAAAAUACUAAUUAUAAAAAAAUUCAUAUAAGACGGAUAAUCAAAUGUUGGAUACGGAAACCCAGGUUUAUCUUUUUU
RNAcentral lists this microRNA precursor (194 nucleotides) under Oryza sativa Japonica Group (Japanese rice). Its description in RNAcentral is "MIR812 microRNA precursor family". It matches the Rfam family "MIR812 microRNA precursor family". Lineage: Eukaryota; Viridiplantae; Streptophyta; Magnoliopsida; Poales; Poaceae. The record is from Rfam by way of RNAcentral.